RNAcentral lists this unclassified non-coding RNA (218 nucleotides) under plant metagenome. Its description in RNAcentral is "partial contains small subunit ribosomal RNA and internal transcribed spacer 1". The stretch from base 1 to 46 matches the Rfam family "Eukaryotic small subunit ribosomal RNA", at positions 1786 to 1831 of the family's 1831-position model. The record is from RNAcentral.
AAGUCGUAACAAGGUUUCCGUAGGUGAACCUGCGGAAGGAUCAUUAUGGAGAUUGGUUAGGUAACACCUUCCAAACCCUCCCAUCCCUAUGUUUACAUUAUCCUUUGUUGCUUUGGCUAUGGCCGUCUUUGGACCGCCGGCUUCGGCUGGCCAGUGCCUACCAGAGGAUCCAAAACUCUGUUUAAUUGUAUUGUCUGAGUACUAUAUAAUAGUUAAAA